CAUGAAUGACACAUCGUGACCCAUGGAUGCCCCGGCUCUUUGCAUCCUGCACAUAGACACGUGACAGACACUUGAUGAGACUCCUUGAUGCAAAAAGCAUAUACUUUUUAGUUUUACAAGGAAGGAGUCUCUCUAAGAAAAUGUUCAAGUGGAUUUUUGGCUACCCAGCAAAUUAUUCUAACAGCCAACACUAUGAAAUACUGUAUCCAUGAAGAAAAUGAGACCUAGAGAAGUCAAGGACCUCGCCGAAGAUCCCUUGCCUGUAAGGAUGAAGCUAGGAUUCAAAUUCAGACAGCCUGGGUUCCAGAGCCAGCAUGCUUUUAACCUCGUUCACUUCUCUUCCAGGUAUCAGACCAACAGAAAACCAUGCAAGACAUGAUUGGACGAUAUAAAAGGAUGUUGCAUAAUAAUCUGAAGUCGUCAUACACUGAAGAAUAACAAAAG
Cebus imitator (Panamanian white-faced capuchin) is the source of this 444-nucleotide long non-coding RNA. RefSeq lists it as uncharacterized. NCBI's taxonomy places the organism in Eukaryota, Metazoa, Chordata, Mammalia, Primates, Cebidae. The transcript has 4 exons. The record is from RefSeq and is a predicted model, not a curated record.